Molecule: ribosomal RNA, 253 nt
Filed under: uncultured bacterium
Lineage: Bacteria
Description: partial 16S ribosomal RNA
Rfam family: Bacterial small subunit ribosomal RNA
Source: RNAcentral
UACAGAGGUCUCAAGCGUUGUUCGGAUUCAUUGGGCGUAAAGAGCGCGUAGGUGGCUCCGUAAGUCAGGUGUGAAAUCUCGGGGCUCAACCCCGAAACUGCACUUGAUACUGCGGUGCUCGAGUACUGGAGAGGAGAUUGGAAUUUACGGUGUAGCAGUGAAAUGCGUAGAUAUCGUAAGGAAGACCAGUGGCGAAGGCGAAUCUCUGGACAGUUACUGACACUGAGGCACGAAGGCCAGGGGAGCAAACGGG